AAAGAUUAAGCCAUGCAUGUCUAAGCACAUGCCUUAAUACGGUGAAGCCGCGAAUAGCUCAUUACAACAGCCAUCGUUUAUUAGAAUAUCGUUAUCCUACUUGGAUAACUGUGGCAAUUCUAGAGCUAAUACAUGCAAUAAAGCUCCGCCCGCAAGGAACGAGCGCAUUUAUUAGAAUAAAAACCAAUCGAGUUUCGGCUCGUAAUUUGGUGAAUCUGAAUAACUUUGCCAAUCGCACAGUCCUAGUACUGGCGAUGUAUCUUUCAAGUGUCUGCCUUAUCAACUUUCGAUGGUACGCUAUACGCCUACCAUGGUAGUAACGGGUAACGGAGAAUAAGGGUUCGACUCCGGAGAGGGAGCCUGAGAAACGGCUACCACAUCCAAGGAAGGCAGCAGGCGCGCAAAUUACCCACUUCCAGAACGGAGAGGUAGUGACGAAAAAUAACGAGACAGUCCUCUUCGAGGUCUGUCAUCGGAAUGGGUACAAUUUAAAUCCUUUAACGAGGAUCUAUUGGAGGGCAAGUCUGGUGCCAGCAGCCGCGGUAAUUCCAGCUCCAAUAGCGUAUAUUAAAGUUGUUGCGGUUAAAACGCUCGUAGUUGGAUCUGCGACCUCGAAGAACGGUCCCCCGAAAGGGUGGUCACUGUCUCUUCUAGUCUAAAUUCAAGUUGUCUUUAGGUGCUCUUUAUUGAGUGCUUAGAGCGACUAGAACGUUUACUUUGAAAAAAUUAGAGUGCUUAAAGCAGACGAAAUAGUCUGAAUAAGGUGCAUGGAAUAAUGGAAUAGGAUCUCGGUUCUAUUUUGUUGGUUUUCGGAGCCCGAGAUAAUGAUUAAGAGGAACAGACGGGGGCAUUCGUAUUUCGGCGCUAGAGGUGAAAUUCUUGGACCGCCGAAAGACGAACGACUGCGAAAGCAUUUGCCAAGAAUG
This 926-nucleotide ribosomal RNA is filed under the name Thonus sp. JH-2004. Its description in RNAcentral is "SSU rRNA". It matches the Rfam family "Eukaryotic small subunit ribosomal RNA", at positions 39 to 966 of the family's 1831-position model. Lineage: Eukaryota; Metazoa; Nematoda; Enoplea; Dorylaimida; Qudsianematidae. The record is from RNAcentral.